UUGAUUACAUGGAGAGAAUAUGAAAUUCAAGUGGCAGCUUAUAAUAAAAGAGGAUUGGGAGUUUUCAGUGAAAGUAUUGAAGUUACAACAUCAGAAGGAAGUGAGUCAAAUUAUGUCAACCAAAAAUCUUUGUAUUUUUUUGGUUUUUUUACUUUUAAAUUACAUUAUAUUUUUUCAGGGCCAACACAAGCACCAAAGAAUGUUCGAGUGAAAGUUCUCAACUCAACUGCUGUUGCAAUCGAAUUCACUGCUCCAGAACAACAAAGAAUUCCGGGAGUGAAUCUAGGAUACAAGGUUCAAUUUUGGAAGGGUGAACCAGAGAAAGGAGAACUUUACAAGCAAGUAAUCUUGGAUCCGGAUAGACGUCAGCUUACCACUGUUGUUAAUGAACUUGAAAAGUUUGGACAUUACAAUUUAACAACUUUAUGUUUCACGACUCCUGGAGAUGGACCAAGAAGUAAUGUAGUGAAAGUUGUAACUGAAGAAGAUACUCCAGAAUCUGUCGAUGAAUUAAGUAUUGCUGAAGUAAUGUAUAAUGGAGCAG
This 544-nucleotide small RNA is filed under the name Caenorhabditis elegans. Its description in RNAcentral is "Unclassified non-coding RNA Y42H9B.11". The record is from RNAcentral. Lineage: Eukaryota; Metazoa; Nematoda; Chromadorea; Rhabditida; Rhabditidae.